GUGAGGAAUAUUGGACAAUGGGCGCAAGCCUGAUCCAGCCAUGCCGCGUGCAGGAAGACGCAUCUAUGGUGUGUAAACUGCUUUUGUACGGGAAGAAACACUCCCUCGUGAGGGAGCUUGACGGUACCGUAAGAAUAAGGAUCGGCUAACUCCGUGCCAGCAGCCGCGGUAAUACGGAGGAUCCAAGCGUUAUCCGGAAUCAUUGGGUUUAAAGGGUCCGUAGGCGGUUUAAUAAGUCAGUGGUGAAAGCCCAUCGCUCAACGAUGGAACGGCCAUUGAUACUGUUGGACUUGAAUUACAAGGAAGUAACUAGAAUAUGUAGUGUAGCGGGGAAAUGCUUAGAUAUUACAUGGAAUACCAAUUGCGAAGGCAGGUUACUACUUGUGGAUUGACGCUGAUGGACGAAAGCGUGGGGAGCGAACAGGAUUAGAAACCCCGGUAGUCC
This 445-nucleotide ribosomal RNA is filed under the name uncultured bacterium. RNAcentral describes it as "partial 16S ribosomal RNA". It matches the Rfam family "Bacterial small subunit ribosomal RNA", at positions 354 to 796 of the family's 1533-position model. The record is from RNAcentral.